RNAcentral lists this ribosomal RNA (1152 nucleotides) under Citrobacter freundii. Its description in RNAcentral is "partial 23S ribosomal RNA". It matches the Rfam family "Bacterial large subunit ribosomal RNA", at positions 1 to 1195 of the family's 2925-position model. Lineage: Bacteria; Pseudomonadati; Pseudomonadota; Gammaproteobacteria; Enterobacterales; Enterobacteriaceae. The record is from RNAcentral.
GGUUAAGCGACUAAGCGUACACGGUGGAUGCCCUGGCAGUCAGAGGCGAUGAAGGACGUGCUAAUCUGCGAUAAGCGUCGGUAAGGUGAUAUGAACCGUUAUAACCGGCGAUUUCCGAAUGGGGAAACCCAGUGUGUUUCGACACACUAUCAUUACGUGAAUACAUAGCGUAAUGAAGCGAACCGGGGGAACUGAAACAUCUAAGUACCCCGAGGAAAAGAAAUCAACCGAGAUUCCCCCAGUAGCGGCGAGCGAACGGGGAGCAGCCCAGAGUCUGAAUCAGCUUGUGUGUUAGUGGAACGGUCUGGAAAGUCCGACGGUACAGGGUGAUAGUCCCGUACACCAAAAUGCACAGGUUGUGAACUCGAAGAGUAGGGCGGGACACGUGGUAUCCUGUCUGAAUAUGGGGGGACCAUCCUCCAAGGCUAAAUACUCCUGACUGACCGAUAGUGAACCAGUACCGUGAGGGAAAGGCGAAAAGAACCCCGGCGAGGGGAGUGAAAAAGAACCUGAAACCGUGUACGUACAAGCAGUGGGAGCCUACUUGUUAGGUGACUGCGUACCUUUUGUAUAAUGGGUCAGCGACUUAUAUUCUGUAGCAAGGUUAACCGUAUAGGGGAGCCGAAGGGAAACCGAGUCUUAACUGGGCGUUAAGUUGCAGGGUAUAGACCCGAAACCCGGUGAUCUAGCCAUGGGCAGGUUGAAGGUUGGGUAACACUAACUGGAGGACCGAACCGACUAAUGUUGAAAAAUUAGCGGAUGACUUGUGGCUGGGGGUGAAAGGCCAAUCAAACCGGGAGAUAGCUGGUUCUCCCCGAAAGCUAUUUAGGUAGCGCCUCGUGAAUUCAUCUUCGGGGGUAGAGCACUGUUUCGGCUAGGGGGUCAUCCCGACUUACCAACCCGAUGCAAACUGCGAAUACCGAAGAAUGUUAUCACGGGAGACACACGGCGGGUGCUAACGUCCGUCGUGAAGAGGGAAACAACCCAGACCGCCAGCUAAGGUCCCAAAGUCAUGGUUAAGUGGGAAACGAUGUGGGAAGGCACAGACAGCCAGGAUGUUGGCUUAGAAGCAGCCAUCAUUUAAAGAAAGCGUAAUAGCUCACUGGUCGAGUCGGCCUGCGCGGAAGAUGUAACGGGGCUAAACCAUGCACC